CCUACGGGAGGCAGCAGUAGGGAAUCUUCGGCAAUGGGGGCAACCCUGACCGAGCAACGCCGCGUGAGUGAAGAAGGUUUUCGGAUCGUAAAGCUCUGUUGUAAGUCAAGAACGGGUGUGAGAGUGGAAAGUUCACACAGUGACGGUAGCUUACCAGAAGNNGACGGUUAN
RNAcentral lists this ribosomal RNA (171 nucleotides) under Streptococcus thermophilus. RNAcentral describes it as "partial 16S ribosomal RNA". It matches the Rfam family "Bacterial small subunit ribosomal RNA", at positions 338 to 500 of the family's 1533-position model. Lineage: Bacteria; Bacillati; Bacillota; Bacilli; Lactobacillales; Streptococcaceae. The record is from RNAcentral.